UUGAGAGCUGAGAAAGACUGAAGAGAGAGGAGAGAAGACAUUUGUGGGGCGACUGAGGAACACUCUUAGCUGUCUUAACCCCUACAGAUCGAAAUUUAAUUCAUGGAAUAUGGGGUUGAAAUGAAUUUUCCAAAGAGGAUGGAUCUUUUUGGUCCUUUUCCUAAGUUCCAUUUUUGCAUGACCCUCAUUGGCCUUCCUCUGCCCCUCCUCGUUUUUCUCUGUUCAUAAGGAUCCACAGAUUUGAUGUUACGGUAGAGAGAACCACUGUCGUGUGUUGAUAGACCAAUUACACUAACGUGGUGUUACAUUAUCUAAUACAUACAUAUAUAUGUCGAAGUUAGAUUUGAGUUUUCGUUUUUCGUCAUCUA
Capsella rubella is the source of this 368-nucleotide long non-coding RNA. RefSeq lists it as uncharacterized. NCBI's taxonomy places the organism in Eukaryota, Viridiplantae, Streptophyta, Magnoliopsida, Brassicales, Brassicaceae. The transcript is spliced from 2 exons. The record is from RefSeq and is a predicted model, not a curated record.